RNAcentral lists this ribosomal RNA (98 nucleotides) under Amphilophus citrinellus (Midas cichlid). Lineage: Eukaryota; Metazoa; Chordata; Actinopteri; Cichliformes; Cichlidae. The record is from RNAcentral.
AUUUAUAGCCAUACCACCCUGAGCACGCCCAGUCUCAUCUGAUGUUGGAAGAUAAGCAGGGUUGGGUCUGGUGAGCACUUGGAUGGUGGCUGUAUCUC